RNAcentral lists this ribosomal RNA (3591 nucleotides) under Triticum aestivum (bread wheat). RNAcentral's name for it is "partial small subunit ribosomal RNA". The record is from RNAcentral. Lineage: Eukaryota; Viridiplantae; Streptophyta; Magnoliopsida; Poales; Poaceae.
AUGGCCUUCACCAGAAUAGAUCUGGAGGGAGGCGGCACCGGCCAUAGAGCGGAGAGAGGAGGGAGAUCGCCUUGUUGCCUGCGCCGCGGACAGGAGGAGGCUGGAAGACAUGAUAAGUCUGCCCUUCGCGAGAGCAUAACUGCAAAACUACAUCAGAAGGCAUCUGAGAUCAGCAGCACCCCCCAUCGUCAUUGCCUUUGUUUUGGCCAGAGAGCUGGUUGUGGCCAUGGCUUUGGCCAUAUUCAAUGGGUAUGCUUCUCAAUCUGUGCAAUGUUUCCCAAGGAUCACAAAUUUGGGAGGGAUUUUCUAGCUGAUAUUUGGAUUGCACAGGGAUAUGUGGAGGGGCCCCAAGAAGCAUCAAUGUGCUUUGAUGCCCUUGCAAAUCGUUCAUUCUUUCAGAGAGCAUCGCCACAUAUUGAUGAGCAUGUAAUUCAUGAUCUGAUGCAUGAUAUGGCACAACUAGUCUCAACUGAUGAGUAUGUAAUUCAUGAUCUGAUGCAUGAUACGGCACAACUAGUCUCAACUGAUGAGUGCUUCAUUAUAAAGCAUGCGAGUGACCUUGAUAAUGUUCCUUCAAAUGUCCGCCAUCUGUCCAUAUUCACGAAAGGAGAAGCUCAGUGUUCUGAAUUGAAGAGCAUAUGCAACAAGAAAAAGUUGAGGUCCCUGGUAUGUGAUGAAUCAUAUAGCAGUGCAGAAGAUUUUGAGCCCGUGGUAAACUGUUGGUUCAAGGAACUGCUGAAAAUCCGUGUACUGAGUAUAAAACUUUCCGGCGCGGUACAGCUACCAGAGAGCAUGGGCAACUCAAAGCAUCUGUGUUACCUUCGUUUUCUUGGAAGUCCAACUUCCUGCACAUUUCCUUCGUCAGUUUGUCAUUUGCAUCGUCUCAAAAAGGUAGAGUGUGGCAGUUGCUUGAUUGAAAGGUUUCCCCCAGACUUCAGUGAUGCCCUCAGUUUACAGAAAAUCAAUUCAAAGGGUUUUGCUUAUAACAAGGACCACUCUGGGAAACUCUGCCUAAUUUGGUCCGGUUCGCAAAGUCCUGAGACGGGUUACGGAGGUGAAUCUUGUCCUAGCUGGCUCCAGCCCAACCUGCUGCCAAUGUUACGUUCCCUUGAAUUUCUUAAGUGUGACAACUUGAAGAGCAUACCAUUCUUUGCCCCGUUGGAGGGAUCAGUUGAUAAUACAACACGUUCAGACAACCUUAAUCGUCUUGAAGAGUUAAUCAUAAAAGCUUGUGGUCAAAUCAAUUGGCGAGGCUUGGUGGUCCUACCUACUUCUCUUAGAAGGCUAACCCUUGAAAGAUCAGGCAAUUUCAUGGAUCACUUUGUGAGCUGCUUCCUUGACCUCACCUCCCUCACUCAUUUGAGCAUAAUUGGCUGCGAAUCGUUGACACCUAUUCCCCUGCAUUUGUGGAGAAGCAAUCUUCCAUCCCUGGAGGAACUACAUAUUGAUUCUUGCGACAAUCUUACAUCAAUCGUCUCUGAAGCAAGUAGCAACAGCGAUGUUAAAGGAUUCUCAUCCCUUGCCAAGAUACGUAUUGAGAGAAAGAAUCUCAUCGCGAGGGCGACGGAGGGCGCGGCGGAGGGCGCGGCGACGACGAGGCUACCAGAGGGCACCGCGGAGGGCGCGGCGACGACGAGGCUACCAGAGGCGGCCGGAUCGCCGCCGUUGCUCCUUCACCCUUCCUCUGAUGGAUGCGUUCCGGCGCCUGUGAUCCAACCAGCCUCUCCUAGUAUCUUGGCGGCGGCGCCGUCGGGAGGAACGGAGGAGAAGGGAGGGUCGAGUGGCGCUCGCGGCGAUCUGCAGCCGGGUGGGAUCGGACGAGAAGAGAGGAGUUUGAUUCAAUGGCGGACGAAUUUUUCUGAAGGGAUCAACUCCGCCGUCUGGAUCGAAGGGCGACUUCGUUUCUCUCCACGUUCGAGAUGGAUGGUUCUCCUAGAUUUGGACAAUGACGUCCUCGCUGGCGACUAUCUUCCCGAUGGCGACAAGAUUGAGGUUGGUUCUAGAUUCAUUCUUGAUUUAUAUGAUGUAGUUGUUUGUGAGUAUAUGCAGGUGGAUGUUCAACUGAGAUCACCGGAGGUGAUCGAUCUUUCGGAGCCUCUGGUUCAUGCGAGACCGGGAGGGAGGUUUUGGGCGCUUAUGGACAGUGACGACGAGGACCAGGUCGAGGGCGAAACACCUACGAAGGUAGCUGCCGGGGUGACCUUCGCCUCGCCGAGGGCUCGGUCUUCACCGGAGUCUGAUAUCAAGACCAAUCGGCGCAUCUCUCCAGUUCAAAACUCGAAGCCGGGCAUGAAGCCGUGGAGCGGUCCGAUUCCAAAAAUUCUGAGAAAAACGGUAACGUUGUCUGAUUUCUUGCCGGAUAACUGGACUCUUGUGACUCGGAAGAAGAAGAAGGGUCGGCGGCCGCCGGCGGCACUGAGGCCGGAGCCGGCGAGCGAUCGUUCGUCCGUGAUUAGGGCGGAUCGGAUCAGGCGUUUGAAUUCUUUGCUGGGUUCUGAUGGGCUCGGAGUGGGCCACGGCACGGGCCUUUCUUCAACCGGAAUGCCUGGUGCGAUUGAUUUGGCUAAGUGUGGGCCGGGAUUAGCGGGGCUGGAGGCCCAGGCAAAACCGGUUUCUGGCGAGGGGACUGUCGAUGCCUACGUGCAUGAGAUUGCGUCGGAUCGUGAGCCAUCACAUGCACGAUCGUCUCCCUGUCGAGGCGUUCUUCUCGCUAGGGUUCGCCGCCGUGGUCGGGUGGGAUUUCCAUCAUCUGUUCGCGGUCGUGUCAGGCGAGACUCAGGGUCCUCUGAUCUUGCGAAGUCAACUGCCGACGUCAUGCCGCCCAAGGCCCCGCCGCCGGCCAAGGGACCGCCUCCGGCGAAGCCGCCUGCGAGGGCUGCGCCGGGGGGUCCGGCUGCGACUGUGCCUGCCUCGGCUGCGGCUUCGACACCGGCGCCGGCUGCGCCGGCUGUAGCCAGGGCUGCGGCGCCGCCACAGCAUGGGGCCACACAGCCGCCGCCGCAACGACCUUGGCCUAGGCAAAUGGCUGCCGGCCGGGGAGGUGCUGCCACUGGUGUAGCCGGCCGGGGAGGUGCUGCCAAUGGUGUAGCCGGCCGUGGAUCGGGUGAGGUUGUUUCCCCUCCUUCAUCGCCGAUACCGCGGCUGGACAUGACGACUCUUUUGGACGACUCGGCGGAGCUGGCCGGGAGUACGGUCAGGUCCUUCUCUGCUUUGCCGGUGAUCGGUUCGUCGGGACUCAGGGCCAGCGCAGUAGUAACGACCACUCCGGAGGCUCGGCGGGCCUCGGAUGGGUCUAGCGGGCAGGAGGCCCGCGCACCGCGCUCUCCUUCCUUGCCGGCAUCAGAGGCGGCUACUGAUCUUCUGGGAGGGUCGGCUGUUGGUCGCAGACCGGUGUCUUCACAGGCAAGUCUGGCCUCCCUGGCUAGGGAGGCGUCCUCACCUCUUCACGCCACCGUUAGUGCGCCAGGGCAGGGGGUAAUCGGCUCACCGGCCCCCACUGUGUUAGGUGGGCUGGGUGGAGCCACUGCAGCUACUGCCUCCUCCUCGGUGCGCGGCGUGUGGGCUGCCCCGGAGCCAGCUGCUGAUUGCUGA